GCCCUCGUAGUUCAAUGGAUAGAAUAGUCCCGUCCUAAGGGAUAGAUGCACGUUCGAUUCGUGCCGAGGGCA
RNAcentral lists this transfer RNA (72 nucleotides) under Patescibacteria group bacterium. RNAcentral's name for it is "tRNA-Arg". It matches the Rfam family "tRNA". Rfam says of the family: Transfer RNA (tRNA) molecules are approximately 80 nucleotides in length. Their secondary structure includes four short double-helical elements and three loops (D, anti-codon, and T loops). The record is from RNAcentral.